This 465-nucleotide ribosomal RNA is filed under the name Vreelandella stevensii. RNAcentral's name for it is "partial 16S ribosomal RNA". It matches the Rfam family "Bacterial small subunit ribosomal RNA", at positions 338 to 795 of the family's 1533-position model. Lineage: Bacteria; Pseudomonadati; Pseudomonadota; Gammaproteobacteria; Oceanospirillales; Halomonadaceae. The record is from RNAcentral.
CCUAGGGGCGGCAGCAGUGGGGAAUAUUGGACAAUGGGGGGAACCCUGAUCCAGCCAUGCCGCGUGUGUGAAGAAGGCCCUCGGGUUGUAAAGCACUUUCAGUGAGGAAGAACGCCUGGUGGUUAAUACCCAUCAGGAAAGACAUCACUCACAGAAGAAGCACCGGCUAACUCCGUGCCAGCAGCCGCGGUAAUACGGAGGGUGCGAGCGUUAAUCGGAAUUACUGGGCGUAAAGCGCGCGUAGGUGGCUUGAUAAGCCGGUUGUGAAAGCCCCGGGCUCAACCUGGGAACGGCAUCCGGAACUGUCAAGCUAGAGUGCAGGAGAGGAAGGUAGAAUUCCCGGUGUAGCGGUGAAAUGCGUAGAGAUCGGGAGGAAUACCAGUGGCGAAGGCGGCCUUCUGGACUGACACUGACACUGAGGUGCGAAAGCGUGGGUAGCAAACAGGAUUAGAUACCCUUGUAGUC